GUGUCAGCAGCCGCGGUAAUACAGAGGGUGCAAGCGUUAAUCGGAAUUACUGGGCGUAAAGCGCGCGUAGGUGGUUCGUUAAGUUGGAUGUGAAAUCCCCGGGCUUAACCUGGGAACUGCAUGUGAUACUGGUGGUGCUAGAAUAUGUGAGAGGGAAGUAGAAUUCCAGGUGUAGCGGUGAAAUGCGUAGAGAUCUGGAGGAAUACCGAUGGCGAAGGCAGCUUCCUGGCAUAAUAUUGACACUGAGAUUCGAAAGCGUGGGUAGCAAACAGGAUUAGAAACCCGUGUAGUCC
RNAcentral lists this ribosomal RNA (293 nucleotides) under uncultured Enhydrobacter sp. RNAcentral describes it as "partial 16S ribosomal RNA". It matches the Rfam family "Bacterial small subunit ribosomal RNA", at positions 505 to 796 of the family's 1533-position model. The record is from RNAcentral. Lineage: Bacteria; Pseudomonadati; Pseudomonadota; Alphaproteobacteria; Hyphomicrobiales.